UCCAUUAAUUAAGAUAGGGUACUGCAUUACUGAAACAAAGUGCUCUGCUGCAGAUGAAUGCUUGGCAGAAGAUAAUGAAAUUUGUAG
Molecule: long non-coding RNA, 87 nt
Organism: Telopea speciosissima
Lineage: Eukaryota; Viridiplantae; Streptophyta; Magnoliopsida; Proteales; Proteaceae
Exons: 3
Source: RefSeq, a predicted model, not a curated record